This 334-nucleotide unclassified non-coding RNA is filed under the name Alchemilla rutenbergii. RNAcentral describes it as "partial external transcribed spacer". The record is from RNAcentral. Lineage: Eukaryota; Viridiplantae; Streptophyta; Magnoliopsida; Rosales; Rosaceae.
ACAGUUACGAUGUCAGAUCCUAUCUUGCGCAUCAAAUGGAUUCCUGUGCAUGCUACCUAUCGUAAAGGUAUGAUGCCUAUCGUUGACCCUUUCCUUCCUUGACUCUUGCGGUCAAGGAGGACAUCAUAGUAGCGCUUGUGCGCCUCGCCUUGUGCAUGCACUCUGCGACGGUUUGCGGGUUGUUGCUUGUUGCUUUGGAUACGGURCAUAUUGUGGGCUUAGGGAGGGUCUUUGUACCCUCAUUGUCCGAAAUUCCAAGCGUUUUGUCGCUAGACACGCACGACCGUCAUGAUCGUUCCGGGUUUUCCCGUGCGAGCUUGGCGUCGGCAAAGGA